RNAcentral lists this ribosomal RNA (498 nucleotides) under uncultured bacterium. RNAcentral's name for it is "partial 16S ribosomal RNA". It matches the Rfam family "Bacterial small subunit ribosomal RNA", at positions 28 to 523 of the family's 1533-position model. The record is from RNAcentral.
GAUGAACGCUGGCGGCGUGCCUAACACAUGCAAGUCGAGCGUGAUUCUAAUGAGUGGAGACUUCGGUCAAGGCGAGUUAGAUGAAAGCGGCGGACGGGUGAGUAACGCGUGGGCAACCUGCCCCAUACAGAGGGAUAGCCACUGGAAACGGUGAUUAAUACCUCAUAAGACCACGACAUCGCAUGAUGAUGUGGCCAAAGAUUUAUCGGUAUGGGAUGGGCCCGCGUCUGAUUAGCUAGUUGGUGAGGUAAUGACUCACCAAGGCGACGAUCAGUAACCGACCUGAGAGGGAGGAAGGGCAGACUGGAACGGAGACACGGUCCAGACUCCUACAGGAGGCAGCAGUGGGGAAUAUUGGGCAAUGGGCGCAAGCCUGAUGCAGCAACGCCGCGUGAGUGAAGAAGGCCUUCGGGUCGUAAAGCUCUGUCCUCUGGGGCGAAGAAAUGACGGUACCAGAGGAGGAAGCCCCGGCUAACUACGUGCCAGCAGCCGCCGUAA